This 7527-nucleotide long non-coding RNA is filed under the name Gossypium barbadense (sea-island cotton). RNAcentral's name for it is "long non-coding RNA (GBAR_LNC009184)". Lineage: Eukaryota; Viridiplantae; Streptophyta; Magnoliopsida; Malvales; Malvaceae. The record is from RNAcentral.
UAGAACAGUAAAAUUUUGAACUUUUUCUUGAAAUAAAGAUCGUUCGUUUAAAUAAGUACUAAGCACAACCAGAGGUAAAAUUUAAACUUCACUAAGUAAACAUUCAAAAGAUGCCAUUUUCGCAUGGCUUAUAUACAUUAACCAAAGAUAUUCUUCCGCCACUAGUCUAUUCUAUACAUGCCAUAAGAUAAUCCAAAACGUAGCAGUACCAAACAAUGGAUAGUGAUAGUGUGACUAGUUGCUGAUGAUCCCCGAGCUUGUAGCUUCCAAAUGAGAUCUAUAAAACAGAGCAAACAGAGUAAACGGAGUAAGCAUUACAAUGCUUAGUAAGUUUUAAGCAGUGUCAACAGAUAACAAUCAAAUUAUAACAUAGUUGUUCGUAUAGUUUAUUUCACUCUUCCUUCGGGCAUACCAUCCCUUUUUCCGAAUAUGCACAUCUCAUCAUAUACAAUAGGCAGAUAAACUUUCAUAUAAAAGUGAGCUCAUGUGACAUAGAUAUAUCGUAUGAUUUCACAUAACCUCUCACACUGAUCCGAUGUCACAUAAUCAUAGGAAUAGUCUCAUAGAUUGCUCUCUAUGCAUCACAUAACUACCUUAUGAUUUAGUGCAAAUCAAGCUCACAUAUAAACUUGGAGUACAUACUUGUUUAACCUUUCGCAUUGAAUAUAUUUAUAAGCAAUUCUUAUUACGAAGUCUUACCCGGACAUAAUCUCCACACGAAAUUAUCGGGUCUUACCCGGACAAAAUCCCCACACGUAGUCAUCGGGUCUUUAGAGCUCAGAUAUAGUACGAGCACGAAGCUUACGGACAUUAAUCAGUGAUAAUAUUCUCGCAUAAAGCCUGCGGGGUUUUAACCCGGAUAUAGUGCUGACACAAAUGCCCUUCGGGACGUAUCACAUUUAUACACUUUCACAUCCAUCACGUUGGCCACUCGGCCCUGUCACAUAUAUACACUUUCACAUUCAUCACAUCGGCCAUUAGGCCUUAUCACAUAUAUACACUUUCACAUUCAUCACAUCGGCCAUUAGGCCUUAUCACAUAUAUACACUUUCACAUUCAUCACAUCGGCCAUUAGGCCUUAUCACAUAUAUAUACACUUUCACAUUCAUCACAUCGGCCAUUAGGCCUUAUCACAUAUAUACACUUUCACAUUACCAACCCUUUUAUUCAUACACAAAGAUCAACUUAGCCAAAGGCCGGUAGCUCAUUUAUCAACUGAGCGAAUACUUAUUUGUAAGGGCUCAACUAAUUCAAAGCACAUACGAAACAUACCUCAAUGUUUGGAUGUUUCAAGCGUAUUAACUAAAAUUUUUACAGCAAGAUCAUUCAUUCCCAAAUCACAUACCUUCGGAAUUUAACCGGAUAUAGCUACUCGUUCAAAUGCCUUUGGGACAUAGCCCGGUUAUAGUAACUCGCACAAAUUCCUUCGGGACUUAACCCGGAUUUAGUAACUAGCACAAAUGCCUUCGGGCUUAGCCCGGAAUUAGUAUCUCGCACAAAUGCCUUCGGAUCUUAGUCCGGAUUUAGUAUCUCGCACAAAUGCCUUCGGAUCUUAGUCCGGAUAUGGUCACUUAGCACAAAGCCUUCGGGACUUAGCCCAGACAUCAUUCAAAUAACCAUGCACAUUUAACAAUAAAUCAUGGCACAUUCGUAUUUCAUUUUCGUUAGCAAAACUCAAACACAAGACACUUAUCAUUCUUGCAAUUUCGGCUCAAUAGCCACACACAAAGAGCAUGAUUUUGAUUUGCUUAAAACAUGAUCUAAUCAAAUCAUAAUUUAAGCUCUAUUACUCAAGAACUUACAAUAUCACGAUUUAGAAUUCAAGUAUGGGUUUAAUCAAUAGCUUGUGAGCAACUAAAACAAGUUUAUCAAGGUUCACAACAUAAUCUCAAAUUCAGCACAAGCUGUUUUUCCUGAGCAAUAGUCACUAAAUUAUUUAUAACUAGAGCUAAAAAACUCCAAAUCACUUUCCGUUAAUUUUUCCUGAAUAUAGACUCGUAUAUCUUCCACCCAUAAAAUUUCCAGAAUUUUAGGUUUGGCCAAUCAAUACCAGAUUUUUCUUAAAGUUUCCCCUGUUUCACUGUUUGACUAAUCUAACCACUCUUCACUACGAAUCAAAUUUCUCAUUUUACAGAAUUCAAAAUGUGUUUUAUUUGAUUCCAUUUGAAACUAGACUCAUUAAUGAGUCUAAGCAUAUAAAUUUUAUCUUAUAAACAUUUUUUUACAAUUUAUAAUGAUUUUCUAAAAACAGAACAGGGGAUUUCGGAGUCAUUCUGACACCGUCUCACACAACUUUAAAUAUCUCAUUAUCGGAAAUUCCUUUGCUUACACGGUUUCUUUUAUAAGAAACUAGACUCAUUAAGCUUUAAUUUCAUGUCUCAUUCAGCCUCUAAUUCAAGUCCAUAAAUUUAUGGUGAUUUUCUAAAGUCACGUUACUGCUGCUGUCCGAAGCAGACUAUUUCAAAUUACCCUUAAAUUCCCAAGCUCAAACACUUAAGAACUUACCAUUUGAGCUUAGAACAUAUCAUGGCCACAUCAUAUCUUAUUAAAUCAACUCAUCAUGUCCUAUUAUAAUUGAAUUUACUCAACGUUUAAACACUUAAAACUUACCUUGGAUGUGGUCGAACAAUUUCGGCAGCUAUUCGAUCACUUCUUCCCUUCCCUUAUCCAACUUUGGUCCUCUAAGCUCUUGAGCUUAAUUUAACAAAUAAAUUGAUUUAAUCAUUUGAGCAUCAAAAGAGGAACUCAAGGUACUUAGCCCAUAUAUACAUACAUUAGACAUUAAAGUCACAUACAUAUGAAAUCAUAAAUCAAUUCAACAUAUUAGCCCACACUCUCUUUUAGCCGAUUGUCUAAGCCAAGAUAAAAGCAUCAAUAUGCUUGCCUCUAGCCGAAUACAUGCAACACCAAGCAAGAAUGAUGCAUCCAUGGCCGAGUAUCAUCUUCAUAACUUUACAAAAACAUUUGCCAUGAGCUAGCUUCUAUACUUGGUGGCCACUCCAAAUAUACAAAGAUUUUCAAUGAUAGAGCAUUAACAUACCUUAAUACAUCAAAAUAAUUAAAUUCUUCCCAUGGCACACUAAAACCGAAUAUGUCUUAUUCAAAUAUAAAUUCUCAUAUUUCAUUUAUUUAACCAUUUAACCCUCCUAUCAAAUAAUUUUCACAAACUAAUCUUAAACUCAAAAUCACAUAAAAUCGUAACACAAAAGGCAUUCAUCUAACACUUGAUUUCUAAAUUCUAACAUCAAACUCAAAUUUCUUAGCUCAUCAACUCAUGGCCGAACAUCAAUUAUUCACCAAAACAAAAAUUAACUCAUGGGUUUUAGAGAAAAUUAAGUAAGGAAUUCAAUGAUACUAAAAAUUAACAAAAACAACCUGAAUUUCACCUUGAAUUUUUGCUUCCAAAUGGCCGAAACUUCAAAGCCACAAAUUUUAUUUUCUUUCUCCUUUGUUCGGCCUCCAAGAUGAACUACAUGCAUGUUCUUUUUUUCUUUUUUUUUAUGCCCCAUACCGUCCAUAUCAAUUGUCUAAGGUUAAAUAUCAUCACAAAUACUCCAACUUACAAAAACAACUUCAAUUCGGCCCUGAAGAUACAAACAUGCAUGGCUUUCCAUUUUAUGUUUUAUAAUACUUAUUUUUAUGUUUUAUAAUACUUAUAAAAAUAAUUAUCUCACAAAUAACUUUAAAAUAAACAUAUAAAGACAUCAUGCAUUAAGCCAUUACCAUCCAUAUAUUUAUUAAUGAUAUAAUUGCCAUUCAAAACCUCAAUAUUCUAAAGACAUAACACUUUAACAUUUUCAUGAUAGCAUGCUUAUUAAUCAAUUGAUGCAUUUUAAUCCUUUUUAAUGACAUAAAGAAAGAAAGAAAAAUAUUUACCAAGAGUUUCAAACUACUUGGCCGAAUAUCAAACCUCCAAACAACCAAAAAAUUUAACUCAUGGAAUGGAUAGAAUUUGAACAAAUCACCAAAAUUAUAUAUAAAUUUUCAAGAAUUUCAAAGUACUUACCUCUUUCUAAAUAUUCUCCAAGCCGAAAUCAUACAAAGAAAUUUUUUUCUUCCUUCUAAUCUCAAGUUACGGCAAUGGUAGAGUGAGGAUGAACCAACUUUGUUUUUAUCACCCAUUUCUUUUAAUAUAAGUUCAUAUUUCAUAUUAUUUAUUCAUUUAACAUUUAAUUUAUUAAUAUAAAAGGCAUAUAUUUUGUAUCCCAUGCUCCUUAUUUUAUCAUACUUCCCAUGAAACACUAACUUAACAUGUUUAUGACAUGUUCUUGCCCAUCACACUUGGUCUACCAUACUUGUCAUGGCCGGCCACUACUAAUUAGGGGGGAAAUUGACAUGCAAGUCCCCCCUUUUUAUUUCAUGCACUAAUAGAUCCUUAUGCUUUGACCUAUCACAUUUCAAAAUUUUCUCACAUAAGUCCUAUUUGAUAAAAUUCACUUACUAUUAACAAAAUUCAAACAUGAAAUUUUCACACAUGCAUAUGUACAUAUAAUGAGCAUCAACUAUGACGGUUAAUUAUCUUUAUGACUCGGUUUAGUGGUCCCGAAACCACUUUCCGACUAGGGUCACUUUAGGGGUGUCACAGAUUAUGCUUAUUCCAAAGAUUAUUAAUCCUUCUAAUCUGACUCAUUUUCGGCCAAUUAGUCUCUGUAAUGUUAUUUAUAAACUUGUGGCAAAGGUGAUUGCAAAUAGAUUUAGAGGAGUCAUUGAUAAAUGUAUUGAUGAAGCACAUAAUGCAUUUGUGCUAAGGAAACUCAUAACAGAUAAUGCACUAGUGGCCUAUGAAGUUUUACAUUCAAUGAAACAGAAGAGAGGGGGGAAGAAGGGAUUUAUGGCCAUCAAGUUAGAUAUGAGUAAGGCCUACGACAAAGUAGAAUGGAAUUUUAUUCAAGAAAUUAUGAGUAGAAUGGGUUUUUCUCAAAAAUGGAUUGAAUCUAUUAUGAAAUGUAUCUUUAGUGUUUCUUAUUCAGUAGUGGUUAAUGGUAACAAAAGAGAUAUAUUCUAUCCAACAAGGGGACUUAGACAAGGAGAUCCAUUAAGCCCUUUUUUAUUUCUGAUAUGUGGAGAGGGUCUAUCAGGUCUAAUGCGAAUGGCUAUUAGCGAAGGAGUUAUAAAAGGUGUUAAAGCUAGUAGAAGUGGCCCCAGGGUGUCUCAUUUACUAUUUGCUGAUGACUGCAUAAUGUUUUAAGAAGCAACAAGAAGGGGAGUAAGAGCAAUCAAGCAGAUUUUGCGUGAAUAUAAAAAUAGUUCAGGUCAGUUCGUAAACUUUGAAAAAUCAGCAGUAUUUUUUAGCAACAACAUAUCUGUGGAAGUUAGGCAAAUAGUGAUCACCCAAUUGGGAAUCCACAGCUCCAAUGAAUUAGAAAGGUAUUUAGGACUGCCAAGUUUAGUUGGGAAAAGGAAAAAAGAAUCUUUUCAAGCAUUUAAGGACAAAAUGAAACAGCGGAUUGAUAAUUGGUGUAUGAGAUUACUGUCUCAAGGUGGAAAGGAAAUAUUUAUUAAAUCAGUUUUACAAGUGAUACCGACUUACUCAAUGGCUUAUUUUUUUAUUACUGAAGACAUUAUGUGAUGAAAUGGAAGGCAUUGUAGCCAAGUUUUGGUGGCAAAAGGGACGUGGAAAGAAAGGAAUUCAUUGGUGUUUAUGGAGAAAUAUGUGUUCUUUAAAAGAAGUUGGAGGUAUGGGUUUCCGAAUUUUUUGCCAAUUUAAUGUUGCGUUAUUAGCCAAGCAGGGCUGGAGCCUUAUUAAUAAUCCGAGUUCCUUAUUAGCCAGAGUUUUUAAAGCCAAAUAUUAUCCAUAAUCAAAUUUUUUAAACGCAUAGUUGGGUUAGUUACCUUCAUAUACCUAGAAGAGCAUUUAGGCAGCACGAGGGCUCAUUCAGGAUGGGUUGUGUUGGAAAGUCAGUCGAGGGACCGAGAUUGAUGUCUGGACUGAUUGCUGCAUUCCUGGAUGUGAAGCCAUUGGUAGACAAGGUAGAGAGACAAACAGUGAUGUCCUAUUAGUUUCGGAUUUAAUCAAUAAUACUAGUAGGACUUGGAAGCGAGACCUGAUCAAUAAUACCUUUCAAUCAGGCAUAGCGCAAAAAAUUUUGAAGAUUCCUUUGGCAGAGUCAGAACAUGUUGACUUUCAGGUGUGGAAAGAGGAACCUUCAAGGGAGUUCUCAGUAAGAAGCGCCUAUAAACUAUUACAUCAUUCUAGCUCGAAUCCUAAUAUUUAUCCAUUACAACCCAAAAUAAGAAACUUCUAUAGAAAAUUGUGGGAUUUACAGCUACCGGGUAAAAUAAAGAUACUAGUUUAGCGAAUUUCCUGGAACUACAUCCCUUCCCUAAUAAAUCUAAGAUCCAAGAAAGUAAUAGAGAAUGCUCUGUGCCCUCGGUGCAGACUCAAAGAGGAAGACAGUAACCAUAUCUUUAGAUUUUGUCCUGCAAUCAGUGAAAUAUGGAAUCUCAUUAAUCUCUCUUAGACCAUUGAUCAUGAUAAUCAAAGUUUCUAGAAGUGGCUUAUCUGGGUUUUUGAAAGGAGUACAAUGGAGCAAUGUCGGUCCUUUUGUUGUGCGCUAUGGUGCGUUUGGAGUUCCCGAAAUCAGCUUGUACAUGAAAAGAAAAUCAUACCAGUUAGGGAUUUAGCAAGGAAAGUCAGCAGUUACAUAGCAGAACUGGAAGGGAUCCGAAUGAAAACAUUUACCUCUUCUUCCAAAAGGGACAACAGUUAUACUAGGGCGACGGAGGGUACCACAGUUCAGUUUGAUGCCGUUUUUGACAAAAGAAAUGAUAGAUCUGCCUCAGGUAUAGUCGUUCGAGACUAGACAGGAGCUUUAAAAGCCUCAAAGUCAGUUAUACAUGAGGAUACCCCGACCCCGUUCGCAGCAGAAGCCCUCGCAGGAUUAGAUGCCAUUAAGUUAGUAAUAGAAAUGAGGUUAACAACAGUAACAAUAGAGAGGGACUCGAGAAUAGUCAUUCAAAAAUGUCAAUCGACAGAAAUUGAUAAGUCGGUCCUUGGGGUGAUUAUUUAUGACAUACAGACCAGAAAAUCCAGGGGUUCAAGACGUUACUUUCAAGUUUAUCCAUAGAACGAAUAACAUUCAAGCCCAUAAUCUAGCAAAAAAAGGGUUGGAGAGAAGGGAGGACUCAUACCUGGGAGGGAAGACGACAAUUCAUAGAGUUGCAGACUCAGAGGGAAGAUGGAGAGAAUCGCCAGAUUGAAGAUGAAUGGACAAGGAGUAGGGUGCAGUUAAGGGUAGCAAGGAAUUGAUAUCUUAGGGAACGACUAUCUGCAAAGGCAUGGCUGUUGGGACGUGAAAAGACGAGUAAAGAAUUAAAUGGCCAGGCUGUUAGAUGUGACUGGGAGAUUUUCUGUUGAUUUCCUUUUGUUUUUCUAUUUUUUUAUUCUUUAUUGUCUUUUAUCAUCAUUUCUGAGAAACGGGCUAGCUAUUAAGGAAGCCCAACUUAGUUUGUUUUGUUUGUUUGGCAGUCGGACUUAAGCCCAAAUGUUAAUUUGGGUAUUGGUUUUAUUCUAUUUGUAAAGAGCCC